Molecule: ribosomal RNA, 467 nt
Filed under: uncultured bacterium
Lineage: Bacteria
Description: partial 16S ribosomal RNA
Rfam family: Bacterial small subunit ribosomal RNA
Source: RNAcentral
ACGCACGCUGGCGGCGUGCUUAACCCCUGCACGUCGAACGGAAAGGCCCUGCUUUUGUGGGGUGCUCGAGUGGCGAACGGGUGAGUAACACGUGAGUAACCUGCCCUUGACUUUGGGAUAACUUCAGGAAACUGGGGCUAAUACCGGAUAGGAGCUCCUGCUGCAUGGUGGGGGUUGGAAAGUUUCGGCGGUUGGGGAUGGACUCGCGGCUUAUCAGCUUGUUGGUGGGGUAGUGGCUUACCAAGGCUUUGACGGGUAGCCGGCCUGAGAGGGUGACCGGCCACAUUGGGACUGAGAUACGGCCCAGACUCCUACGGGAGGCAGCAGUGGGGAAUAUUGCACAAUGGGCGGAGGCCUGAUGCAGCAACGCCGCGUGCGGGAUGACGGCCUUCGGGUUGUAAACCGCUUUCGCCUGUGACGAAGCGUGAGUGACGGUAAUGGGUAAAGAAGCACCGGCUAACUACGUG